CGGAACGGGUGAGUAACGCGUGAGGAACCUGCCUCAAAGAGGGGGACAACAGUUGGAAACGACUGCUAAUACCGCAUAAGCCCACGGCUCGGCAUCGAGCAGAGGGAAAAGGAGCAAUCCGCUUUGAGAUGGCCUCGCGUCCGAUUAGCUAGUUGGUGAGGUAACGGCCCACCAAGGCGACGAUCGGUAGCCGGACUGGGAGGUCGAACGGCCACAUUGGGACUGAGACACGGCCCAG
Molecule: ribosomal RNA, 238 nt
Filed under: uncultured bacterium
Lineage: Bacteria
Description: partial 16S ribosomal RNA
Rfam family: Bacterial small subunit ribosomal RNA
Source: RNAcentral